ACAGCGGCAGCAUUGGCUGGCCAGCUGGCUGAGCAUGCGCCUAUAAAGGACGCGGUCAGCUUACACCUUGGCAAACCAUGCUUCUGAUGGAAAUUGUGGAGGUCAGCAUCCAGGCACUCUCCCUGGUGAGGCCACAUCAUCCAGCACAGCCUGUUCACUUGUCUCCCAUAGACUCUUCUCAUUGUCAUGGACCAGAACCAAGGUUCCAAGGACUUUUUGCUGCUCCAUCAUCAAAAGAAAGAAGACAAAAGAAAUUAGUGAAUGGAGAGCCUCAGAAGAUCUGAGGAUAUCAGCAAUGUUACCAGCAGAAACCAAGAAAAAAGAAAAACCAUUCAGCCUGCCUUCUCCUGUGCUUCAUGUCUUACCAUGCACAAUAAACAGGAAAUGAAGAAGU
This is a long non-coding RNA of Peromyscus eremicus (cactus mouse), 394 nucleotides long. RefSeq lists it as uncharacterized. NCBI's taxonomy places the organism in Eukaryota, Metazoa, Chordata, Mammalia, Rodentia, Cricetidae. The transcript has 2 exons. The record is from RefSeq and is a predicted model, not a curated record.